GAAUGAGGACGAAGAAUUGAAGAAAUCAGGCGUCCACCUGGAGAAAGAGGAUGAAAAAUUGAAGAAAUCAGGCGUCCACCUGGAGAAUGAGGAUGAAGAAUUAAAAAGAAGUCAGGCGUCCACCUGGAGAAUGAGGAUGAGAAUUUAAGAAGAAAUCAGGCGUCCACCUGGAGAAUGAGGAUGAAGAAUUAAAAAGAAGUCAGGCGUCCACCUGGAGAAUGAGGAUGAGAAUUUAAGAAGAAGUCAGGCGUCCACCUGGAGAAUGAGGAUGAAGAAUUAAGAAGAAGUCAGGCGUCCACCUGGAGAAUGAGGAUGAGAAUUGAAGAAGUCAGGCGUCCACCUGGAGAAUAAGGACAAAGAAAAGAAGCAGUCAGGCGCCCACCUGGAGAACAAGGGAAUAUAAUUGAAGUAGCAGAAAUCAGGCGCCCACCUGGAGAACAAGGGAAUACAAUUGA
RNAcentral lists this long non-coding RNA (455 nucleotides) under Nicotiana tabacum (common tobacco). RNAcentral's name for it is "long non-coding RNA (NTAB_LNC014040)". The record is from RNAcentral. Lineage: Eukaryota; Viridiplantae; Streptophyta; Magnoliopsida; Solanales; Solanaceae.